GGGGUUAUGGCUCAGUGGUAGAGUGCUCGCCUCUCAUAUGAAAGUCACUGGGUUCGAUCCUUAGCACCA
RNAcentral lists this transfer RNA (69 nucleotides) under Marmota monax (woodchuck). RNAcentral describes it as "tRNA.Glu". The record is from RNAcentral. Lineage: Eukaryota; Metazoa; Chordata; Mammalia; Rodentia; Sciuridae.